This 460-nucleotide ribosomal RNA is filed under the name uncultured bacterium. Its description in RNAcentral is "partial 16S ribosomal RNA". It matches the Rfam family "Bacterial small subunit ribosomal RNA", at positions 338 to 795 of the family's 1533-position model. The record is from RNAcentral.
CCUACGGGUGGCAGCAGUGAGGAAUAUUGGUCAAUGGGCGCUAGCCUGAACCAGCCAAGUAGCGUGAAGGAUGACUGCCCUAUGGGUUGUAAACUUCUUUUAUAUAGGAAUAAAGUGAGGCAUGUGUGCUUUUUUGCAUGUACUUUAUGAAUAAGGAUCGGCUAACUCCGUGCCAGCAGCCGCGGUAAUACGGAGGAUCCGAGCGUUAUCCGGAUUUAUUGGGUUUAAAGGGAGCGUAGAUGGGUUGUUAAGUCAGUUGUGAAAGUUUGCGGCUCAACCGUAAAAUUGCAGUUGAUACUGGCAGCCUUGAGUACAGUAGAGGUAGGCGGAAUUCGUGGUGUAGCGGUGAAAUGCUUAGAUAUCACGAAGAACUCCGAUUGCGAAGGCAGCUUACUAGACUGUAACUGACAUUGAUGCUCGAAAGUGUGGGUAUCAAACAGGAUUAGAUACCCUUGUAGUC